This 224-nucleotide unclassified non-coding RNA is filed under the name Hevea brasiliensis (rubber tree). Lineage: Eukaryota; Viridiplantae; Streptophyta; Magnoliopsida; Malpighiales; Euphorbiaceae. The record is from RNAcentral.
GGAAGAUUAAAAUAUUUAUCAACUACCAAUGCUAUUGAAAUAUUGUAACAUGGGGUUAUGGGCAUCAAACUUCCCAAUGAUGCAACACUAUAGAUAGAACGUCUAAAUUUAAUCUUUUUAUUUUAAUAUUUGCUGUGGUUUUGCAAGAAGAUACAUCACAAACAGGAGCCUAGAACAUAAUAGUUCCUAUAUCAGAUGUCAAGAAAAAGGUCCAAAUACUUGAC